This 253-nucleotide ribosomal RNA is filed under the name uncultured bacterium. RNAcentral describes it as "partial 16S ribosomal RNA". It matches the Rfam family "Bacterial small subunit ribosomal RNA", at positions 524 to 776 of the family's 1533-position model. The record is from RNAcentral.
UACAGAGGGUGCGAGCGUUGUCCGGAAUCACUGGGCGUAAAGGGCGCGUAGGCGGCCUGAUAAGUAGGGGGUGAAAUCUUGCGGCUCAACCGCAAGGCUGCCUUCUAAACUGUCAGGCUGGAGCACGGUAGAGGCAGAUGGAAUUCCCGGUGUAGCGGUGGAAUGCGUAGAGAUCGGGAAGAACACCAGUGGCGGAGGCGGUCUGCUGGGCCGUUGCUGACGCUGAGGCGCGACAGCGUGGGGAGCAAACAGG